Molecule: long non-coding RNA, 4446 nt
Organism: Carlito syrichta (Philippine tarsier)
Lineage: Eukaryota; Metazoa; Chordata; Mammalia; Primates; Tarsiidae
Exons: 3
Source: RefSeq, a predicted model, not a curated record
CACCUAUGAUGAAGCAUUUAUUAGAAAGGAUGAAUUUAGACAGCAGGCUGUCUCAGAAUAGCACUCAUCCUGUGCCUCCUGAUUGCUGAGUCUUCACCUGGACCUUCUGACUACCUUCCUUGUGCUAUAUUCCAUCAGCCUACAGAUCUGGUACCUGGAUUUUUACCCAUGGUGAUUCCUGCCACCUUACUACUGAAGAAGACACCAUUCCAGUGGACCACUGUGACCUAAGAGGCAUUCAGCCAUCAUGAUGUGGCCUUUACCUCCACUCCUGUCCUGUUCUACCCAGAUUCAGCACAGCUCUAUAUAGUGACAUCAGAGUCCUCAAGCCAAAUAGCUGAAGCUAUUUAUCCCAACAGUGGCCCAGUUUGUUCCAUGAGUAUUCAUUUCAUUUCUUCAGUUACAGCCUUCAGAGACACAUAAUAAAUUCGGACCAGGGGAUUUUGAGUUAUCAAUGCCAUCGGAAGACAAGCAACAUCUCUGUUGAAAACAGCAUUGGACCACACCCCACAAUCUCAAAUGACUGAAGUUCAUGAACCAUCUAGGAUCCCAUCAAGGUCAUGGACCGUGUUCUUUUUCAAUUCAAAUCCUGUAGUAGCCUAUAGAAUGAGAACCCCAUUGGGAUCAAAUCAAAGGCACAGUGAACUCCUCAUAUCAUCUUCUUUGGGAUCACUCAGGAACCAGAACCUCACACGAAUGUAAGAAAUUCUACCAAGGAGUCCCUUUACCUAACAGCGUCUCACAAGACUCCAGUCAGAUUCCAGAAAAGACUUCUUAAUACAUCAAGCAUUUUGUGAACAACUUAUUCUUAGAUCAAUGGUUCUCCAAAGUCUUUGUGGCCCUGAAGCCCUUUGAAUGAAAACUAUGCGGAAGCCCAGAGCUGUGGAUGAAGCAGUGAAGCAGGAGUGAGGGCCUGAAGCCUGCCCUAAGCAUCUUUACCACCAUGGUGACACCCAAGGGGACUUCCUUACAACACCUAGAACUCUUCAGAACAGUUUGAAAACUACUGCCCUAGACAACAAUAUGUAUGACCUGAAUGGCAUUCUGAUCUUUUCUUUACCUCUACUCAACACAGCCAUGUUCAGUUGAUGCUGAGCAAUCUUAGAAAAGUGCAAGAAGUCAGGCAUGCCUUUGCCCCUGGGAAUAAUCACAUGGCUAAAAGUGGUGUCAAGUGAGUGAACCUAGUUUAACAGCCCUCCAACCCAGAUGGACUUCCAGUGAUUCCUGGAAUUGGAUAUAGCCAGAGAGCAUUCUAUGCACCCUGUACUGACAAACUCCUUAACCAAUUUCUCUCACAAACACCAGAUGUUCUAGUGGUACUUGAAGUACAUGACUUUGAAGUCUUGACCCUCUGUGGAUACCUGAAUUGCUAGCAAGCUGGUAUUGAAACUAAUGCCUCAUUGAGGCCAUAUUAGAUCAACUUGUACAUUUGACUUCUCAUCAUCAGCCAUGGUACUCUGUGCAAGGGAUAACCAUUAACUAUGAAAGCAAAUUUCAAGUGCUGGCAAUAUUUCCUAAAGGGGCUCAGUACCUAUUUAUAAUUCAUCUUUUCAAACUGCAAGUCACUGUAUGACUUAGUCAGUGGCAGUCAUGCUGCUCCUUGGUUUUUAUUCAGUUUAACUACUGUUUCCAGGAUAAAUGAGCUAGUAACUUUAAAAAAAAAAUAGCUAAAAUUUUUCAUCACUGGCAUAUCUGCCUUUUCUCCAAAGUCAUGACUCCUCAGCUUUAACUACAUGUAACAGCUGAUCCGCAAGAGAUGAUCUUUGAACAUCCCUUCUCAUGUAUGUGAUUUAAAGUGAAACCAUUUGGAAAAUCACCUAGCCAGUGAGAGAGAUACUUUUAAGAUGAGUCUUUAGAUGUCUGAUAGCAUCAAUUAUAGGUGGUAGGGAUAAUUGAAAGCAGGCCCUUUGACUAGGCCAUAAUAACUUAUUUUCUGGACAUUUCAAAUAACUAAACUGUCUACUUUUGCUGGAAACAGACUGACUUGAAAAAAAUCCACAAAGAAUACAUCUAAGGAUUUUUAUCAGUAGACUAUAGAGCUGCUCACCUUGUGGAUGUUUUCAUGGGAUCACAUCUGUCUCAAUACUCUCAUUUUACAGUGGUUCAGAGCUGCUGACUUUAUUCCUUGCCAUGAAUCACUCAUGCAUUAAGACAACUUAUUUCUGUAGGAAGUAUUCAAUUCAUGAACUCUCAGACCAGAUUUUGUCAAACAAGGAGACUUCGAUGUGUGUAAUGAGAAAUUUUCAUUCCUUCCCUGUCAAUUUAAGGACCAGCUAUCCUGAGGUACUCUAAUGAAUGCACUGGUUAAAUAUUGGAAAUGGUUUAUAUUCUUGUCUCCUAUACUCUAGACCAGUUGUGAUUACGUGAUUCACUACGUAUCGUUAAACAAGACCUGGAUCUGGUUGCUCUCACCCUCAACUUAUAAAAUCUGAAUGACUAGCCUGCUUGUAUAUACAACUAUUAUUUGUAAUGAAGAAAUUAUCUUCAAGCUCAAUUUUUUUACCACCUUAAAAUUGUCAGCUCUUUUUUUCUCUGUUUUUCCUAUACUUUACAGAAAAAGAUAUUGAUCUACACUGCCAAUCAUUCCCUCUAAUCUUGUCGUACUCAGUCAAAAUGAGUGGUUUAAAAUGAGGGUAAUCACCUGCUUAAGAGUCUAAAAUGUACACUGUGUAUAAGAAUUAGUGGUUGGAAAAACAAGCCUAAAACUUAAACUGAGGAGCUUGCCUACUAUCUCUAUGCCUCAGAUCUCAUCUAAAUCUUCCAACAGCACCAUUCAACAAUUUGACGCCUUGACUUGCUUGUAAGGUGAUUCUCAGAAAUUGGCUGAGUUAAAAUGAAGACUUGAUUACCAAAGAAACUAGGGCCAAUUUUGAUAAAUGUGGCUCUGCUGACCCUGUCACUCCCAGAUGUAGCAUAAAGUAUACAGAAUCUCAAGUCUGCACUGAGGUUAUGGCCUUCUCCUGAGCUGAAAGUUCUUCAGCAGAUGAGCAGAAAACUGAAAGCUGAUGAACCUGAUGGAAGCUUUAACAUCAGAAAACUAUCCAGAGUAAACCUUAUGGAUUAAUCCUGGAGUACCCAGGGUACAAACUAAUUUACAGAGCUGCAUUAUUAAUCUGCCUGUUCUUCCGUGACAUAUCCUAACUAUUCUAAGGCUGGCUCUGCUAAAGUUACCCUGCUUGUCUAUUUACCUGACUCAGCUCUUGCCUGCCUUUUCUGACAUGUUGCUGCAAUCAGACUGACCUUGAAAAGACUACAGCUAAUGUCAGCCUAUGUUGUGCCCAGUUCCACCACAGAUUUUUUUAGUAAAAGCAACCCACACCUCAUUCACCAGGACUUAAUAUUCACAACAGGAAGAACCAUGCUGUAUACUCCUUGAUCAGGAGCUUUUUAAAACUUAAGUGCAGAGUGAGCCUCUAUGCUUAUAUGUAUUUGAACAUUUUUGGCAUCUGGAAAACCUCUUCUAUCUGAAAAAUACAACAGGUCAAAAACUGUCCAUUUCUGUCUUCUGCAGUAAUACGGAAAUGAGUCCAAUUCACCAGUACUCACAGAAAUGUACAACUUGGCAAAAGACUUACAGGAACACAAGAAAAGUUUUUCACUGAACUUAAAAUAUACUGCUGACUCAAAUAGCCUCACAGAAUUAUUUGAUAGUAGAAGGCUAGUUGUCUUGCUCAUAUCAACAGGACAGUUGGGCUCUCAGACUCAUGACCACUGAGCUUGCUUGUAUUGAAACUCUGGUAUCAUCCAAAGUAUGCUAUUGGACACAAUUAUUCCAUCCAAAUGGAUUACAGGCUUCCUGGGGGCAUGACAGAUGUAUCCCUUACUGCAUUUUGUUUGUUUGUUUUUAAUUUAUUGCCAAGGAAGAAACAGUGCAAGCUGUUACCAUUCAACUUCAUGAGCAGAAAUUAGCUCUUUUCAACAUCUGGUCUUAUCCCGGACAUAGUUUUUGAUUGCCCAGCAUCCAUUCUAUCUCAUUGCAACAACUCCCUGAUGUUUCUUGGAACCACCUCUUCCUAUCUUCAGUUCAUGUGGUUGGGACAAUCUGACCCAACCUUGGGCUUCACAGGUGGACAUGUAAUUCAGACCUCAUCUAUCAGCAAAUCCAUCUCCUUGAACAUAGUGUUUGAUUCAGAAUGGUUAUAUAAUUCAAGAUGGUUCGGUCAUACUCAUCCCUAGUUUUACUGAACUGUGGAGGAGGAGAAGCUCUCUUUACUGAGGUGGUUUAGCUUUAUAGGAUGAAAAACUCAAACCAACAGGACCUCCAGAAUUGAGUGAACCAGUCAGAUAAUGAAGCCAGUGCAGAGAAAAGCAGAGCCAAAAUAUGGAAAGACUUUUGAGUCCUGAUGACAACGUUUGUGCCCCUGGAUCCAACUGUGCCUGAAGCUAGUAUAUCCCCUGGACUUUUCAGUUAUGUGAACCAAUAAAUACCCUUUUUUGUUUAAGUUA